GCGGUCGUGGUGGAACGGUAGACACGCAACGUUGAGGUCGUUGUGCCCUAGGGUGUGGAGGUUCAAAUCCUCUCGACCGCACCA
RNAcentral lists this transfer RNA (84 nucleotides) under Campylobacterales bacterium. Its description in RNAcentral is "tRNA-Leu". It matches the Rfam family "tRNA". Rfam says of the family: Transfer RNA (tRNA) molecules are approximately 80 nucleotides in length. Their secondary structure includes four short double-helical elements and three loops (D, anti-codon, and T loops). Further hydrogen bonds mediate the characteristic L-shaped molecular structure. tRNAs have two regions of fundamental functional importance: the anti-codon, which is responsible for specific mRNA codon recognition, and the 3' end, to which the tRNAs corresponding amino acid is attached (by aminoacyl-tRNA synthetases). tRNAs cope with the degeneracy of the genetic code in two manners: having more than one tRNA (with a specific anti-codon) for a particular amino acid; and 'wobble' base-pairing, i.e. permitting non-standard base-pairing at the 3rd anti-codon position. The record is from RNAcentral. Lineage: Bacteria; Pseudomonadati; Campylobacterota; Epsilonproteobacteria; Campylobacterales.